RNAcentral lists this small RNA (74 nucleotides) under Rhodovastum atsumiense. RNAcentral's name for it is "Makes More Granules Regulator RNA (mmgR)". It matches the Rfam family "Makes More Granules Regulator RNA (mmgR)". From Rfam's summary of the family: SuhB later renamed mmgR (makes more granules regulator) was a putative non-coding RNA found multiple times in the Agrobacterium tumefaciens genome and related alpha-proteobacteria. Other non-coding RNAs uncovered in the same analysis include: speF, ybhL, metA, and serC. The record is from Rfam by way of RNAcentral. Lineage: Bacteria; Pseudomonadati; Pseudomonadota; Alphaproteobacteria; Acetobacterales; Acetobacteraceae.
CCGGGCUGCUUUCUUGGACGUUUCCUCCCUAAACUUGGCGGCACGAUGACGUGCCGCCAUUUUUUUUGUCCCGA